AGUGAACGCUGGCGGUAGGCCUAACACAUGCAAGUCGAACGGCAGCACAGUAAGAGCUUGCUCUUACGGGUGGCGAGUGGCGGACGGGCGAGGAAUACAUCGGAAUCUACUUUUUCGUGGGGGAUAACGUAGGGGAACUUACGCUAAUACCGCAUACGACCUACGGGUGAAAGUAGGGGAUCUUCGGACCUUGCGCGAUUGAAUGAGCCGAUGUCGGAUUAGCUAGUUGGCGGGGUAAAGGCCCACCAAGGCGACGAUCCGUAGCUGGUCUGAGAGGAUGAUCAGCCACACUGGAACUGAGACACGGUCCAGACUCCUACGGGAGGCAGCAGUGGGGAAUAUUGGACAAUGGGCGCAAGCCUGAUCCAGCCAUACCGCGUGGGUGAAGAAGGCCUUCGGGUUGUAAAGCCCUUUUGUUGGGAAAGAAAAGCAGCAGGUUAAUACCCCGCUGUUCUGACGGUACCCAAAGAAUAAGCACCGGCUAACUUCGUG
This 492-nucleotide ribosomal RNA is filed under the name uncultured bacterium. RNAcentral describes it as "partial 16S ribosomal RNA". It matches the Rfam family "Bacterial small subunit ribosomal RNA", at positions 29 to 507 of the family's 1533-position model. The record is from RNAcentral.